GAUGAACGCUGGCGGCGUGCCUAAUACAUGCAAGUCGAGCGAACGGACGAGAAGCUUGCUUCUCUGAUGUUAGCGGCGGACGGGUGAGUAACACGUGGAUAACCUACCUAUAAGACUGGGAUAACUUCGGGAAACCGUAGCUAAUACCGGAUAAUAUUUUGAACCGCAUGGUUCAAAAGUGAAAGACGGUCUUGCUGUCACUUAUAGAUGGAUCCGCGCUGCAUUAGCUAGUUGGUAAGGUAACGGCUUACCAAGGCAACGAUGCAUAGCCGACCUGAGAGGGGGAUCGGGCACAGUGGAAGUAACACCCGGUCCAGACUCCAAAGGGGGGCAGCAGUAGGGAAGCUGGCGCAAUGGGGGAAAGCCUGACGGAGCAACGCCGCGGGAGUGAUGAAGGUCUUCGGAUCGUAAAACUCUGUUAUUAGGGAAGAACAUAUGUGUAAGUAACUGUGCACAUCUGGACGGUACCUAAACAGAAAACCACGGCGAACUACGU
Molecule: ribosomal RNA, 496 nt
Filed under: uncultured bacterium
Lineage: Bacteria
Description: partial 16S ribosomal RNA
Rfam family: Bacterial small subunit ribosomal RNA
Source: RNAcentral